AACGAACGUUAGCGGCGCGCCUAAGACAUGCAAGUCGAGCGAGAAAGGGCUUCGGCCCCGGUAAAGCGGCGCACGGGUGAGUAACACGUAGGUAAUCAACCCUCGAGUGGUGGACAACUCUCCGAAAGGAGAGCUAAUACAGCAUGAUGGCGCGACUUUACGAAGUUGUGUCUAAAGCGGGCCUCUCCACGGAAGCUCGCGCUUGAGGAUGAGCCUGCGGCCCAUCAGCUAGUUGGUUGGGGUAACGGCCCACCAAGGCAAAGACGGGUAGCUGGUCUGAGAGGAUGAACAGCCACACUGGAACUGAGACACGGUCCAGACUCCUACGGGAGGCAGCAGUCGGGAAUCUUCCGCAAUGGGCGAAAGCCUGACGGAGCAACGCCGCGUGGAGGAUGAAGUCUCUUGGGACGU
This 411-nucleotide ribosomal RNA is filed under the name uncultured bacterium. RNAcentral's name for it is "bacterial SSU rRNA". It matches the Rfam family "Bacterial small subunit ribosomal RNA", at positions 29 to 426 of the family's 1533-position model. The record is from RNAcentral.